GCCACAUGGUUCCCUGUGCAGCGCCCCGUGGGUCCCAGCAGACACAGCACCAUAAUGGGAGACUUCUAGGCCGAGAGGGCAAAAGCUUCAAACAGCAGGCGGCAGCACCAGCUGUGUGGUGGCUGGGAGCUGGUCUAGCCUCCGCCUUCCUUCCAGAAGUCUCCCCAGCAUCCUCAACCAGGUCAGAUCCCCCAGCAUGACUCAACAUCCCUUCGACUUCCCUUCUGCAGCCCUGGCAGGAGCUGUGUUGCAGCGGUGCCUGUUGCAUGUGGAAGUCUCCCUUCAAGGUUUGCAUCAUGGAACUCACCUGGCCCAACCUCUCAGGGAGGAAAAUUCCAACCAGAGAGGUGCCCCAGGAGAAACUGAAGCUCUUCACCACGGUGGCUGUGGCUUUGUCAUGCUCAGCAGUUUCAGCUCCCACACUGCUUAGCCUCACUCGGACUCCGGGAUGCUGUGCAGGAAAUUUCCCAGUGGCUCCAGCCUCGGGAUCCUGCAACCUGAACACCUACUGGCUUCUUGGGGUCAUCCA
RNAcentral lists this long non-coding RNA (529 nucleotides) under Homo sapiens (human). Its description in RNAcentral is "HSALNT0406018". Lineage: Eukaryota; Metazoa; Chordata; Mammalia; Primates; Hominidae. The record is from RNAcentral.